Molecule: long non-coding RNA, 841 nt
Organism: Megalops cyprinoides (Indo-Pacific tarpon)
Lineage: Eukaryota; Metazoa; Chordata; Actinopteri; Elopiformes; Megalopidae
Exons: 3
Source: RefSeq, a predicted model, not a curated record
UGUUCAGGUUAUUAAGUAAACGGGUGUGGUCGUUAAUUUUAUCGAUUGCUCUUAUUUGUUUGUUUGUUUGUUUAUGUAUGUAUGUAUGUAUUUAUUUUUAUUUGCCAUUUCCAGAGUAAAGCAAUUUCAGUUUCUGUGUCCCCACAUACGUAGAUGGAAAGGGAGGCUCCACCUUUGGAGCGCAGUGAUUGGUUAUGUAAAUAAAGUAUUUUUUCUCCCCUAUCUUUAUGCAGUUAUCUACUGUAUGGAUAAUUAAAUCAUCAAUCAAGGGGCUUGGCUAUUUGAUGCCUUUGUUCAAAGCCAAUCGGGUUCCAGGGAACUGGCACUUCGCUAACUCAAUGGUGUGGGUGUGUUAUAUCUCGCAUCUCUAAUGCUUUGUGAACCAUACCCAGAAGGGAAGAACCAGAACACACAUUCAAUUAAUGUUUGACAUUGACAAAACUUUCUCUGACUGAAAAGGUAAGGUCUGGAAAACAGGAGCACUUUCACGUAAGAAAGACGCCUUAUAGCUCUACGGAAUUAAUAAUUGACGUUUGCUGUGAUUAAUUAUUAAUCAAACAUUUGAAUAAUUGUUGUUUCUCUAAUCUCUACAUACAUUUGCAUAUCUGCCUUUUUAAUUUCUGCUAUUAUAUGUGAAGCUACAUUCUCUCAGGACACGAAGAUGUAAUAAAUAAAACUUCACUCCUCAAAUGUCUACCUACUGUGUGCUCGUUGAAUGUGGCACAGACUAAAAACAGAUAAUAAACAGAAAAUCUCAAUUAACUUACCACUAUGAACCCGAACCAAUAACAUUGUGUAGGUGCAUUUGAUGCUGAUCUUAUCAUCUUGGUGUUGUUUUGCC